GUUACAGCAGGUUAUCCUGAUCUGCUUCGUACUGAAAAGCACUGCUCCUGCUGGAGGCUCACAGGGAGGACAGAGAAGGAAUUUGUCACCCCGCAGCAAGCUGUCAGAGCUGCCAGAGACUCCUUGCCAUCUUUGUCACCUGCUGUUCUGUUCCUGAAUCUGGACACAUUCCUGUGGCUUACUCCCUCCUUGAAGCAGCAGACUGUGGGACGGGGGCCAUGCAGAGACACAGGGCUGCAGCCAGGGAUCUCCCAGCACGUCCUGCAGGAUGCAAUACUCCUCAGCUCAGGGCCUCCUCAUCCUCCUGGUCAUGUGCAGCAGGCCAAGGGGCCUUGCAUCCAGUGCAUGGAAUCCUCGAGCCAGAAGAAGGGUGUGAAUCAGCUUGGGGAUGUCCUGAACACGUGUGGUCCUAUGGUGUG
Molecule: long non-coding RNA, 419 nt
Filed under: Numida meleagris (helmeted guineafowl)
Lineage: Eukaryota; Metazoa; Chordata; Aves; Galliformes; Numididae
Description: lncRNA (ENSNMEG00000008735.1)
Source: RNAcentral